UGUGCGUCCUCGUUUGGCAUCUACAACACCAAUUGCUGAACGGGGAUCUGCGAAAAGACGCAGCCCAGUUGAAGCUCGUCUCCAUCGCCGUGCUCGGUAGUGGCGGCUGGAAUGGAUAGCCCGCAUGAUGCUACAGCCGGAGAAACCGCAACGGCAGCUCCUGCAGCCGAUCGACAAUGGAGGGGGGAGGUCGGACCAACUCAAUCCAGCGCGCCUUUAGCCUCGCCGCGGAGAGAGGCUCGCCUGUCGUCUUCGAGCCGGCCAUGGGUAUGGUCUUCUCGUCAGACCAAGAGGCGCACGAGUUUUACAACGCCUAUUCUUGGGAAGUUGGGUUUGGGAUCAAGCGGGGAAACAAGUAUACCACGAAGCCCGCAUGCUACAAAACAAUGCAGGAAUUCCUCUGCUCGUGCGAGGGAUCCAACAAGGAGGAGAACACAAAAUCUGCUAGGACAAAAUGCAAGGCUAUGGUCAGGCUAAAGAGGACUGCAGAUGAUGGAUGGUACUUCUCCACAGUCGUCCUGACCCAUAACCACGAGCUUGCAGACACUGCCGGAGAGAAGAAGGUGUGGAAGUGCCACAAUACCAUUGACUAGCCCAUCAAAGAACUGAUCAAGCAUAUGCGGUCUAACAACAUCCCUGUGAACAAGGUUUAUGGCGUGAUGUCCGAUAUACACGGGCGUCAUGAAGAGGUUCCCUUCGGCAAGCGUUGUCUGAAGAAUCUAUGCGCAACCCUCGUACAUGAUUCAAGCCUCGACGACAUCACGAAGACGCUCGAUAUAUUCAGUAAGAUGCAAGCGCAAAACCCUGAUUUUUUUACGCGGUGAAGGUCGACUCAGAGAGGCGUGUGCAUGGCAUUCUUUGGUGUCACUCGAAGAGCCGAGCUGACUAUCAUCUGUUUGGUGACGUGCUGACCUUCGACACCACUUAUAAGAGUAAUCUGUAUGAGAUGCCUGUGGGUCUUUUCGUUGGAGUGAACAAUCACUACCAAUCUGCACUGUUUGGGUGUGUUAUUCUCAGAGAAGAAACAGAAGACUCAUUCAAGUGGCCAUUUUCUACCUUUGUUGAAGCCAACGGCGGGAAGACGCCACAGACGAUACUCACAGAUCAAUGCCGGCAGAUGGAAGUUGCUAUCGCUCAUACAAUGCCCUCUACAGUCCACCGUUUGUGCAAAUGGCACGUUAUGAAAAGUAUAAAGGAGAAUCUUCGGGCAUUAUAUAAGAAAGGGAC
Molecule: long non-coding RNA, 1227 nt
Organism: Triticum aestivum (bread wheat)
Lineage: Eukaryota; Viridiplantae; Streptophyta; Magnoliopsida; Poales; Poaceae
Exons: 4
Source: RefSeq, a predicted model, not a curated record